GAUGAAGAACGUAGCGAAAUGCGAUAAGUAAUGUGAAUUGCAGAAUUCAGUGAAUCAUCGAAUCUUUGAACGCACCUUGCGCUCCUUGGUAUUCCGAGGAGCAUGCCUGUUUGAGUGUCAUUAAUAUAUCAACCUUCACUUGUUGAAUGGUUUGGAUGUGGGGGUUUGCUGGUCUCUUAAAGGGUUCAGCUCCUCUAAAAUGCAUUAGCAGAACAAUCUGUUCAUUGGUGUGAUAACUAUCUACGCUCUUGAAUAAGAUGCAGUUCAGCUUUCUAACUGUCCUUGGACAAUUUAUCAUUUAUGUGACCUCAAAUCAGGUAGGACUACCCGCUGAACUUAAGCAUAUCAAUAAGCGGAGGA
This 360-nucleotide unclassified non-coding RNA is filed under the name soil metagenome. Its description in RNAcentral is "partial contains 5.8S ribosomal RNA, internal transcribed spacer 2, and large subunit ribosomal RNA". The stretch from base 1 to 120 matches the Rfam family "5.8S ribosomal RNA", at positions 35 to 154 of the family's 154-position model. The record is from RNAcentral.